This 217-nucleotide long non-coding RNA is filed under the name Manihot esculenta (cassava). Its description in RNAcentral is "long non-coding RNA (MESC_LNC001093)". The record is from RNAcentral. Lineage: Eukaryota; Viridiplantae; Streptophyta; Magnoliopsida; Malpighiales; Euphorbiaceae.
UUACACUUACUUCAAAAGAGAUGAGGAUAUUGCUGGAGCAUGGACUCCCGUGUCUCCCACGUGCAUUCCUCUAUGUUGUGGUGAUUCCAAAGGACUUUCACCAUCGGGAUUUCCUUGUUCCUCAACUUUCUGAUCUGGGUGUCUAGGAUCCGUAUUGGCUGCUCAACAUAGGUGAGAUCCUCUUGGAUCUCCACAUCAGGCUCACUAAGAACCUUGC